Molecule: ribosomal RNA, 250 nt
Filed under: uncultured bacterium
Lineage: Bacteria
Description: partial 16S ribosomal RNA
Rfam family: Bacterial small subunit ribosomal RNA
Source: RNAcentral
UACGGAGGGUGCAAGCGUUAUCCGGAUUCACUGGGUUUAAAGGGUGCGUAGGUGGGCAGGUAAGUCAGUGGUGAAAUCCCCGAGCUUAACUUGGGAACUGCCGUUGAUACUAUCUGUCUUGAAUAUCGUGGAGGUUAGCGGAAUAUGUCAUGUAGCGGUGAAAUGCUUAGAGAUGACAUAGAACACCAAUUGCGAAGGCAGCUGGCUACACGGUAAUUGACACUGAGGCACGAAAGCGUGGGGAGCAAAC